This 468-nucleotide ribosomal RNA is filed under the name uncultured bacterium. RNAcentral's name for it is "partial 16S ribosomal RNA". It matches the Rfam family "Bacterial small subunit ribosomal RNA", at positions 28 to 507 of the family's 1533-position model. The record is from RNAcentral.
GACGAACGCUGGCGGCGUGCUUAACACAUGCAAGUCGAACGGAAAGGCCCUGCUUUUGUGGGGUGCUCGAGUGGCGAACGGGUGAGUAACACGUGAGUAACCUGCCCUUGACUUUGGGAUAACUUCAGGAAACUGGGGCUAAUACCGGAUAGGAGCUCCUGCUGCAUGGUGGGGGUGGGAAAGUUUCGGCGGUUGGGGAUGGACUCGCGGCUUAUGAGCUUGUUGGUGGGGUAGGGGCUUACCAAGGCUUUGACGGGUAGCCGGCCUGAGAGGGUGACCGGCCACAUUGGGACUGAGAUACGGCCCAGACUCCUACGGGAGGCAGAAGUGGGGAAUAUUGCACAAUGGGCGGAAGCCUGAUGCAGCAACGCCGCGUGCGGGAUGACGGCCUUCGGGUUGUAAACCGCUUUCGCCUGUGACGACGCGUGAGUGACGGUAAUGGGUAAAGAAGCACCGGCUAACUACGUG